This 352-nucleotide ribosomal RNA is filed under the name uncultured bacterium. Its description in RNAcentral is "bacterial SSU rRNA". It matches the Rfam family "Bacterial small subunit ribosomal RNA", at positions 545 to 896 of the family's 1533-position model. The record is from RNAcentral.
CGGGAAUUAUUGGGCGUAAAGCGCGCGUAGGCGGUUUUUUAAGUCUGAUGUGAAAGCCCACGGCUCAACCGUGGAGGGUCAUUGGAAACUGGAAAACUUGAGUGCAGAAGAGGAAAGUGGAAUUCCAUGUGUAGCGGUGAAAUGCGCAGAGAUAUGGAGGAACACCAGUGGCGAAGGCGACUUUCUGGUCUGUAACUGACGCUGAUGUGCGAAAGCGUGGGGAUCAAACAGGAUUAGAUACCCUGGUAGUCCACGCCGUAAACGAUGAGUGCUAAGUGUUAGGGGGUUUCCGCCCCUUAGUGCUGCAGCUAACGCAUUAAGCACUCCGCCGUGGGGAGUACGACCGCAGUCG